GAUGAACGCUAGCUACAGGCUUAACACAUGCAAGUCGAGGGGAAACGAUGAGAGAGCUUGCUCUCUUAGUCGUCGACCGGCGCACGGGUGAGUAACGCGUAUCCAACCUGCCUCUGACCAAGGGAUAACCCGUCGAAAGUCGGACUAAUACCUUAUGCAGUCGUCGGAAGUCAUCUGAUGACGACGAAAGAUUUCAUCGGUGAGAGAUGGGGAUGCGUCUGAUUAGCUUGUUGGCGGGGUAACGGCCCAUCAAGGCGACGAUCAGUAGGGGUUCUGAGGGGAAGGGCCCCCACAUUGGAACUGAGACACGGGCCAAAAUCCUACGGGACGGAGUAGUGAGGAAUAUUGGGGAAGGGGGGUAAGCCUGAACCAGCCAAGUAGCGUGCAGGAUGACGGCCCUAGGGGUUGUAAACUGCUUUUAGGCGGGGAUAAAGUGAGGGACGUGUCCUUCAUUGCAGGUACCGCAUGAAUAAGGACCGGCUAAUUCCGUG
This 491-nucleotide ribosomal RNA is filed under the name uncultured bacterium. Its description in RNAcentral is "partial 16S ribosomal RNA". It matches the Rfam family "Bacterial small subunit ribosomal RNA", at positions 28 to 507 of the family's 1533-position model. The record is from RNAcentral.